Dermochelys coriacea (leatherback sea turtle) is the source of this 441-nucleotide long non-coding RNA. RefSeq lists it as uncharacterized. The record is from RefSeq and is a predicted model, not a curated record. The transcript has 3 exons. NCBI's taxonomy places the organism in Eukaryota, Metazoa, Chordata, Testudines, Dermochelyidae.
CGUGUGCUCAGAGACGUCUCUCUCUCUGUUCUCUUGCUAUUGGCCCGGGUUGGCUCUGAGCUCUUUGGCCUGCUGCAGGUGAGGUAUGACCCGGCCCUGCUGACUCACUGCGGGAAGAUCAGACUCAUACUGGCAGCUGCGAAGGGUCUCUUAAUAAGCGCCGGUGGAGAAUGGGGGAGUUUUCUUGCAGUGUUUGUUGAAGAGGAAAUUGGUUGCUUAAUGCAGGGACGACAGAAAGGGUUCGAAGCGGGAUUCCAGCACAGAACUCACCAUCUACAGAGCCACGAUUGCUCUGGCAGGCAUCAGCAUCAUCCUCUUAGUUACCACCCUCCUGCUGCGCAGACACACAGACACCCAACACCAGCAGCCGGCAAAGGUGAGACCAUGAAAAUUGGAGCCUGAGUUUAACUGGGUGGCAUUGUGAGUUUCAAGACAGUGCUG